GACGAACGCUGGCGGUGUGCUUAACACAUGCAAGUCGAACGGCAAGGCCCUGCUUUUGUGGUGUUCUCGAGUGGCGAACGGGUGAGUAACACGUGAGUAACCUGCUCUUGAUUUUGGUAUAACUUCAGGAAACUGGGGCUACUACCGUAUAGGAUCUCCUGCUGCAUGGUGGGGGUUGGAUAGUCUCGGCGGUUGGGGAUGGACUCGCGGCUUAUCGGUUUGUUGGUGGGGUAGUGGCUUACCAAGGCUUUGACGGGUAGCCGGCAUGGGAGGGUGACCGGGGACAAUGGGACUAAGAGAGGGAGCAGACUGGUACGGGAGGCAACGGGGGGGAAUAUGGCACAGUGAGAGGGAGCCUGAGGAAGAAACGCCGCGUGCGGGAUGACGGCCUUCGGGUAGUGAACAGCAGUAGCCUGUGACGAAGCGGGAGUGACGGUAAUGAGUAAAGAAGCACCGGCUAACUACGUG
Molecule: ribosomal RNA, 468 nt
Filed under: uncultured bacterium
Lineage: Bacteria
Description: partial 16S ribosomal RNA
Rfam family: Bacterial small subunit ribosomal RNA
Source: RNAcentral